Molecule: ribosomal RNA, 911 nt
Filed under: Penicillium shearii
Lineage: Eukaryota; Fungi; Ascomycota; Eurotiomycetes; Eurotiales; Aspergillaceae
Description: LSU rRNA
Rfam family: Eukaryotic large subunit ribosomal RNA
Source: RNAcentral
AUAGCAUAUCAAUAAGCGGAGGAAAAGAAACCAACCGGGAUUACCCUAGUAACGGCGAGUGAAGCGGUAAGAGCUCAAAUUUGAAAGCUGGCCCCUUCGGGGUCCGCAUUGUAAUUUGCAGAGGAUGCUUCGGGAGCGGUCCCCAUCUAAGUGCCCUGGAACGGGCCGUCAUAGAGGGUGAGAAUCCCGUAUGGGAUGGGGUGCCCGCGCCCGUGUGAAGCUCCUUCGACGAGUCGAGUUGUUUGGGAAUGCAGCUCUAAUUGGGUGGUAAAUUUCAUCUAAAGCUAAAUAUUGGCCGGAGACCGAUAGCGCACAAGUAGAGUGAUCGAAAGAUGAAAAGCACUUUGAAAAGAGAGUUAAAAAGCACGUGAAAUUGUUGAAAGGGAAGCGCUUGCGAUCAGACUCGCUCGCGGGGUUCAGCCGGCCUUCGGGCCGGUGUACUUCCCCGCGGGCGGGCCAGCGUCGGUUUGGGCGGCCGGUCAAAGGCCCCUGGAAUGUAACGCCUCUCGGGGCGUCUUAUAGCCAGGGGUGCCAUGCGGCCUGCCCGGACCGAGGAACGCGCUUCGGCUCGGACGCUGGCAUAAUGGUCGUAAGCGACCCGUCUUGAAACACGGACCAAGGAGUCUAACAUCUACGCGAGUGUUCGGGUGUCAAACCCGUGCGCGCAGUGAAAGCGAACGGAGGUGGGAACCCUUUGGGUGCACCAUCGACCGAUCCUGAUGUCUUCGGAUGGAUUUGAGUAAGAGCGUAGCUGUUGGGACCCGAAAGAUGGUGAACUAUGCCUGAAUAGGGCGAAGCCAGAGGAAACUCUGGUGGAGGCUCGCAGCGGUUCUGACGUGCAAAUCGAUCGUCAAAUUUGGGUAUAGGGGCGAAAGACUAAUCGAACCAUCUAGUAGCUGGUUCCUGCCGAU